Oryza brachyantha (malo sina) is the source of this 191-nucleotide non-coding RNA. Lineage: Eukaryota; Viridiplantae; Streptophyta; Magnoliopsida; Poales; Poaceae. The record is from Rfam.
AAUAAGAUCGUUUUUCGUUUUUCCGUGACCAACGUUUGAUCAUUUGUCUUAUUUAAAAAAUUUGUAUAAAUAUUUAAAAAAAUCAGUCACGCAUAAAGUACUAUUUAUGUUUUAUCAUCUGGUAAGAAAAAAAUUAAUCGCAAAAUUUUUUCAAAUAAGACAAAUGGUCAAACGUUGGAUACGAAAAAACA